CACCUUCCCUUCGGGGCAUCGGUGACAGGUGGUGCAUGGUUGUCGUCAGCUCGUGUCGUGAGAUGUUGGGUUAAGUCCCGCAACGAGCGCAACCCUUGUCGUUAGUUACCAUCAUUAAGUUGGGGACUCUAGCGAGACUGCCAGUGACAAGCUGGAGGAAGGCGGGGAUGACGUCAAAUCAUCAUGCCCCUUAUGACCUGGGCUACACACGUGCUACAAUGGAUGGUGCAGAGGGAAGCGAAGCCGCGAGGCGAAGCAAAACCCAUAAAACCAUUCUCAGUUCGGAUUGUAGUCUGCAACUCGACUACAUGAAGUUGGAAUCGCUAGUAAUCGCGAAUCAGCAUGUCGCGGUGAAUACGUUCUCGGGCCUUGUACACACCGCCCGUCACACCAUGAGAGUUGAUAACACCCGAAGCCGGUGGCCUAACCGAAAGGAAGGAGCUGUCUAAGGUGGGAUUGAUGAUUGGGGUGAAGUCGUAACAAGGUAUCCCUACGGGAACGUGCGGCUGGA
Molecule: ribosomal RNA, 511 nt
Filed under: uncultured bacterium
Lineage: Bacteria
Description: bacterial SSU rRNA
Rfam family: Bacterial small subunit ribosomal RNA
Source: RNAcentral